CAUGCCCUAUUCAGUCUUCAUGUCCUAAGAAACUUAACUCCAACAGUGCUUCCUGACCACAGAAGUGAGAACUGGGAACAACCCCAGAGUGAGGGAGCAGACAGCAAAGUGGCACUGCUAUGAGAAAGGAAGCAGGGAUCAUCUUUGAUUUUCUCCAUCUACCCUUAGCCUCUCCAUCUGCUCUUAGGCCCUUUUCAAACUCUGCGCUGUUCACAAUGCGGUCCAUACCAUCACUGGUGCUGGGAGCCAAAUCUUCUAGCUAGACAUCAGGAGGGUUAGGACGAUCCCCAUCUCACUGCACCUGGACCCAUCACUGGCUUCCUGAUGCCCUGAAGGUCUCCCCUAUAUCCUCAUUCUCCUUCAUGCCAGUACGGCAAGGCUGAUGUUUUAGCCAAGGGCCUCCACUUUACAAAAUCUUUAAUCAAUAAUCAAAAUAAUUGAAACUAAGUGAUUCCAGCAAAGGGUGGGGAGAAUGAUAAUCAUCCCUUGUUAAUUUACCCUCUUCUUGUUCCCCUAAACUCAGAAGAUAGAAAGUGACCUGAUUUUUUCACAUAGAAACUUUCACAUACAUGCUUUGAACCAGAACUCAAAUGCUUACAAUGCCAUUGCCGCACAGCAGAAUAUUGUUAACAAGGAGAUCAGUCAAAACCCUAGUAUUUUCACUCUUUGUUCCAAAUUGUACAUUUUGCUUAAGAGGAGGAAGAUUGAUGGAGAGAAAAGAAGAGCAAUCUGUACAGUAAAUUUAGAAAGUGAGUUUCACCUCCUUUAUUAGGGCUUUGAGUCAGUGUUUUAAAUUAUAGCAUCAUAAUAGAAAUUGUGUGGAAUGCAUGUUAAUAAGCAUCGGCUGUUUUCAUCAAGAGCUUUGGAAAAUAUGAAGGUUUGCUUUCCUCCUCAUGACUUUCAUCAAACAACAAUGCCUUCCCUGAAGCUACUGUAUCAGAAUGUCAUCAGGACAUGUUACAGCCUUAAAGAUGAGGUGGGCCUUCAGACAGACCUAAGAGAAAUUACUAUAGGAUUCCAGUUUCUAAAGUAAGACACUCUUCAGGGUCCCUGACUCUUCUAGGAAUUGUCCAAGAUAUAACAAGACUUGAUUCUGGACCAGAUUUGAUCAUAAUUGAAACUUCAGGGGACUCCUGGCUACAAGUUGAUAAGGAUUUUCAAGGCACAUGCUGUGACUCUACAGUGUUGGGCUGGAUUUCCAUGUCGGUGGCUUAGAGCAAGUCUGUGUGGUUGUUGAAUUGGGGGCCAUUCAGGAACUGAGUAUGCUCUGCCGGCUACGACACAGAGCCCUGGGAGGCAGCCUGGCAAGUGGACUGGAUGGGCCUCAGCACACAGGGCCCCACUCCAGCUCUGGCCUCAGGCUGUGGGUGGACAGGAGGAAAGUAUGGAGGUCAGGUCGCUUCUCUGGACCUCAACUUGGCUGUCUGUACAAUGAGAGGGUUGAACUGACGACCCAGCAGAGGACCCCAAGGAGGACUAGAAACAACGGAGACAUCAGUUAGGAAGUAUGUGGAUCCCCGAGUUAAUGCUUGUAGGAGAGCCACUCAACCUGCAGCAUCCACACUGGACUUGGAUCUUGCUUUCAGAUUCUCCUAUGAAGGAGGGGUUCAUUCAUGCACUAUUAUAAAAAAACUUUUAAAAUCAAGUCGGAAAAUGCUGGAGAAAAAUGCACAUCUGUCUGAUCCCAUCCUGAAGUAAUUUCCCCAAGACUUUGAGAUGCUUCUUUGAAAACCAACUCUCCCAGCGGACUGUGCUGUGAAGGUGUGAGGGGAAGUACCCAACCAUUUCUCAGCUCUGCUUCAAAAUAAACCCCAAAUUAAAAAACAAUGCUCCACGGUCA
Molecule: non-coding RNA, 1840 nt
Organism: Odocoileus virginianus texanus
Lineage: Eukaryota; Metazoa; Chordata; Mammalia; Artiodactyla; Cervidae
Source: RefSeq, a predicted model, not a curated record